CCUAGAGAGACUCACUGGACUGCUUUAGCAGUUGACGCAGGGGUGCCUUAGCAUUGGAGAGGCUGGGUGCAAACUUGGCUAAGUAGUUGACUAUGCCAAGCACUGUUUCCAGCUCUGCACGGUUCUUUGGUGGCUCCAUUUCUUUUAUGGCUAAGAUCUUCUGUGGAUCCUUGAUUCCAGUCGCUGACCUCUGUAACUUCGACUGUGUUCUUCUCGGUGUUGAGCCGGACUCCUCUCUCGCGGGACCUUUGCAGCAUCGCGCUGAGGUUUCGGUCGUGCUCCUCUUUGGUUCGACCGUAGACAAGGAUGUCGUCCACAACUCCGCCGAGGUCUUCGUACACUUCGUCAAUCUUUCGCUGAAACUCGUCUUGGGCUGCGAUAAUCUCAAAAGGCAGGCAACGGAACCUGUAGCGUCCAAACGGUGUGUUGAAUGUUGUGAGCUUAGAUGACUCUUCUGUGAGCUUGUUAGCCCAGUAGCCUGAUCUAGCGUCCAUGACACUGAAGUAGUGUGCUCCCGCUAGCUUGUGUGUGAUGCCAUCUAGUGACAGUAAAGGAUCACGGGGGCGUUUGAUAGCCUUGUUCAAGUCUCUUGGGUCGAGACAUACUCGGAGCUUGCCUAUGCGAGGUUUCUCCACCACCACUAACGCGUUCACCCAGUCAGUCGGUUCUGUAACCUUGGUGACUAUGUCACAUUGCUCCAUGCUCUCCAACUCUUUCUUCAGGCGGGCACGGAGAGCAAGGGGAAUCUUUCUCGUUGGGUAGACCACAGGGGUUGCGUCUGGGUCAAGGUGAAUGGUACAUUCUCCUGGGAAUAAUCCUAUUCCUGUAAAAACAUAAGCAAACUCCUCCAGUGAAUUGUCUCUCUACUGGUGCUAUCACUGAUAAAACUAGCUUGAUGAGGUCCAUGUCUAAGCAUGCUUUAAGACCUAGCACUGCAGGUGCUCUAGUGUCAACAACAUAAAAGUCCAACAUCAUGUCACUUUCCUUGUAUUUGCAUUUGAAAGUGCAUGUGCCUUUUACUGGGAGCUGUUCACCAUCAUAACCAGUCAGUCUGCGCGUGGUAGGCUGUAGCUCGUACUCAGAUGUCAAGCUGCGGUACUUAUUCAGAGGAAUAAUGUUUACUUGUGCACCAGUGUCUAGUUUUCAACAUUAGCUUUGUACCUUGUGUUCCUAUCUCAAUGUCAGCAAAGGCUUGCUCUGUCUCUGAUAUUUGACUUUUCUGUGUCACUGAAUCAAUAAACAGUUCAGCAGCGUUUGACUCUUUGAUUGACAUUUCAUCUUCACUCACUGUGUACUUUUUUUCCACGGUAAGCUCUGCACACUUUUGCAAAGUGAUUCCAUUUUCCACAUUUAUCACACUGUUUGCCUUUAGCUGGGCAAUUUCCUUGUUUGCCAUGUACUUUGUAUCUACAUGUUUUGAGUCUGUCGCUCUGUUUUGGAGUUAUGUCUCUCUCCGUUCUAAAACACUCUCUGUGCACCUGAGGUGUGCUUUGAUGUCUGCCUGACUGCACUGCUUGUUCACGUGAUGCGCUCGUGCUGCCCGCGCGAAAUGGUUUUCAUCUGAGCCUGUGCUAGCUCGUGAGAUCUGGCUAUGUCGAUAGCUUUGUCCAGCGUUACCUCAGACCCAACAUUCAAAAGUUUCUCUCUCACUCGCGGUGUGUGUAUUCCAACUACAAUAUGGUCCCUGACCAUCUCAUCCUUGUUUGCAUAAUCACAGUCUUUCACAAGCAGACGCAGCUCUGUCACAAACUGUUCAAAAGACUCGCUAGCUCCCUGUUUUUCCUCUUCUCCCGUGAACCUUAGCUCCACAUGCUGUUUGUACUUACGCCAUGCAUCGGGUAAGUUUGUAGACUCCCAGUCCAUUCGAGCUGAAGGAACUCCAGAAAAAUCCAUCUUGUAAGGCCUUUUAUUCUGACACCAUGUCUUGUUUUGCACACAAUAAUACAAUGCCGUGGGUGUGGAGUCAGACGCUGGAAACAGAGAGUGCAAUGCUGUGCUCUUUAAUGCACAAACGCAACACAGGGUGCUCCCAACCAAACUGCCCCAAACACGGGGGACGAAAAUAGUACAACCGAAAUACACGACCAGGAACAAACACGUUCCUCUACUACAGAACCGAAGGUCACAAUAAUUAAUCCCGCACAAAGAAACAGGCGGGCCGGCUGUCUAAUAAAGCCCAACUAAUCAUUCACGAACAGGUGCUAACAAUAAACAUACAAGGAGAGGGAGGAAAGACAAUCAGUGGCAGCUAAGUCGAAGUCGACUCCCAACCACUACCUGUGAGAUUCAGUCUGACUAGUAGCAGCUUUGUCUUCUCUUCCCUAGCAGUUGAAACUCAAACAUUAAACAACAGCUUGUGAACAAAACAAUGUAAAUAGCCAAGAAACACAAGGACAAAGUCUCCCUCCAGUAGUCUUUAGUUUAAAGUAUUUCAUUCCUGUGCGCAGCGCUUUUAAAAAUGUAUCUUUCACUCAGAUCUUCAUGUGCGCACAACCCCCAGCCAGACAGUGUUGCAGCACAAGGCGGGAUAGGCUAUAUAGAAUUCGUAGUUCUUUGACUUUGCGAUUUAAUUUACCAGCUAUGGAACAAAACAGCAGAAAUACAGCUGCUGCGGUAUUUAUUUUACAAUAAAUGUGAUCAUGCUUGACUAUUUUUAUUUACAAGUAAGUGAAAUGCUGGAAUUACACAAUGUUAACCUCAGAUCACAAUGACAAGAUUGAUUGUUUUAAACAGAUCUGUCACGAGUUCCGCCGAAGUCGGUUCUUCUCCUUGUUCGGGCUGCGUUCGGUGGUCGACGUCACCGGUCUUCUAGCCAUCGCCAUUCCAUCUUUCAUUUUCCAUUUGUUUUGUUUUGUCUUGUUUUCCCACACACCUGGUUUACAUUUCCUCAUUGCUUGACGUGUAUAUAACCCUCGUUUCCCCCAUGUCUGUGUGUGGAAUUGUUUGUUGUAAAGUGUAUGUGCACUUCAGACUGGUUUGCGACGGGUUAUUUCAACCCACAUUUUGUUGUUCUGGGUGCUGUUGGUUUUUUCCUCCAUUAAACUGCUCCGGUUAUUACCCAGUUCUGCUCUCCUGCGCCUGACUUCACUGCAGCUCGUUUCGCAACUCUUUCAAGAUCAAUAUCUUAGGGUUUGAUUUUUUUCAAGCGCUGGGAUGCGCAGAACUUAGAACACGGAGUUAAUGAAAUGCCCAGGAAAUGGCACAGAAAAUUUGGGGCGGUCUCUCCGUAAAAGUCAAUGGCCACACACCAAUACAUGGAUUUGACAGUCAAAUUAUUACUUAAAUAGCAGUCAACUGUUGUUACUGUUGUUAUUCUAUAGAGGGUCGUGAUUCGUUUAGGUUAACUAACAAAAAAAGUGGUCUGGUCCCUUUUCCAUGAUCGAAGCCUCCCGAAAUCAACAUCCAAUAUUCCCAAAUAUAGAUAAAAGCCUUCAAGUACUCAUCUGACCAACUUCUUCAGGGCCAGCCAGGCCCCCUGUUGCCCCCCAGGCGCCCUGAAACCCAACCCCCAUAAGAAGAAGCCCAAAUACGACCUGCCCUUGCCCAGUAUACAUACAAGAUCACAGCCAUGUCAGGUGGGCGUCAGGCUUGUAAGAGACAUUAAUUAUCUGUGAGAUUCAGUGAACAAGGCUGAAAGGACUGGGUAUUGGCUCCUACUGGUUACUCUGCCUUCCACUGUGAUGGAGAAUGCCUCUACCCUCUGUUCCUGCAUGAACUCCACCACCCACACUAUGAUCCAACUAGUGGUCAGUAUGCACUACUACACCCUCACUCACAUGAAUGCUAACAUUACUGGUUUCAGUGGGAAAGAUGGUAAAUGGUUCAGACAUUAAUGGCAAAUAUAAAAAAACUAAGAUACCGAAGUUACCGGAGUCUACAAUGGCAGACUGUUAAUGUAGGGAUAGUGAGAAGUAACAUUCAAGACUGAAGCAAUUAUCCCCUCUAGUGGUAUACUUUAUACUGUACCAGGUUACUACACACACUGAUAAUACAAAACAUUGAGGACACCUGCUCUUUCCUUGAGACUGACCAAAUGAAAGCUAUGACCCCUUAUUGAUAUCACUUGUUGAAUCCACUUCAGUCAGAGUAGAUGAAGGGGAGUUAAAGAAAUAUUUUAAAACCUUGAGAGAAUUGAGACAUGGAUUGUGUGUGUCAUUCAGAGGGUGAUUCGGCAAGAGAAAAGAUUUAACUGUCUUUGAACGGGGUAUGUUAGUAGGUG
Molecule: non-coding RNA, 4219 nt
Organism: Oncorhynchus mykiss (rainbow trout)
Lineage: Eukaryota; Metazoa; Chordata; Actinopteri; Salmoniformes; Salmonidae
Source: RefSeq, a predicted model, not a curated record